UACGAGAGGCCCAAACGUUAUUCGGAAUUACUGGGCUUAAAGAGUUCGUAGGCGGCGCGGAAAGUGGGGUGUGAAAGCCCUCGGCUCAACCGAGGAAUUGCGCUCCAAACUACCGUGCUUGAGGAAGCUAGAGGUGAGCAGAACUGAUGGUGGAGCGGUGAAAUGCGUUGAUAUCAUCAGGAAUACCGGAGGCGAAGGCGGCUCACUGGGGCUUUUCUGACGCUGAGGAACGAAAGCCAGGGUAGCGAACAGG
Molecule: ribosomal RNA, 253 nt
Filed under: uncultured bacterium
Lineage: Bacteria
Description: partial 16S ribosomal RNA
Rfam family: Bacterial small subunit ribosomal RNA
Source: RNAcentral